This 152-nucleotide ribosomal RNA is filed under the name uncultured Glaciecola sp. RNAcentral describes it as "partial 16S ribosomal RNA". It matches the Rfam family "Bacterial small subunit ribosomal RNA", at positions 381 to 525 of the family's 1533-position model. Lineage: Bacteria; Pseudomonadati; Pseudomonadota; Gammaproteobacteria; Alteromonadales; Alteromonadaceae. The record is from RNAcentral.
GCCUGAUGCAGCCAUGCCGCGUGUGUGAAGAAGGCCUUCGGGUUGUAAAGCACUUUCAGUUGGGAGGAAAGGUUGUUGGUUAAUACCCGAUAGCUGUGACGUUAGCAACAGAAGAAGGACCGGCUAACUCCGUGCCAGCAGCCGCGGUAAUA